GAGAGUUAAAUAGUACGUGAAAUUGUUGAAAGGGAAACGAUUGAAGUCAGUCAUGCUAGUGAAAAUUCAGUUUGGUAGGUUUGGGUUCAGGAGUUGAGGCAGGGUCAAACCGUUUCUCUUUUGAACUUGGAAUUUGUCAGAUGCACUUUUUCUUUGGCAGGUCAGCGUCGAUUUCGGAGGUUGUAAAAUACUUGGGGAAAAGUAGCUCUGCUUCGGGAGAGUGUUAUAGACCUUGGGUGAUGCAGCCUGUGGGAUCGAGGAUUGCAGCAAAUGCUUUUGGCUUGUCGCCUGAUCUUUGGACGUCACCUUGCUUGUAUCAACAUUCUUGGUACCGGUGAGUAAUGGUGCUUAUGGGUUAGAGCGAUCAAAAAUUUUGCUAAGGAUGCUGACGUAAUGGCUUUAAACGA
Molecule: ribosomal RNA, 407 nt
Filed under: uncultured Diversispora
Lineage: Eukaryota; Fungi; Glomeromycota; Glomeromycetes; Diversisporales; Diversisporaceae
Description: partial 28S ribosomal RNA
Source: RNAcentral